GAGGAUCAAAUGUUGUGGUGAUGUCAAGGCAGAUAGAAUCUUUGUGGUGUCCAGGGGUUGAUAGCCCAUACACCAGGACAGGUAUAUAAAGGGCUGCGUGGUGACAAGGUACAAGGGCCAGAGCAGCCUGGAGGCAACCAGCCACAGGCGCGGAACAGGACCGGUUGAGACCACAGCGCACUCUGGUCCUCAGCCACUCAGAGACAUUCACUACCUUCUAUAAGGACACAGCAGAUGCAGGCCCAGACAGCAAAUGAGCUGGACCAUGGCGCACUCCCGUCCUCAGUCACACAGCAUGAGAUUCGCUUCAUUCUAGGAAGAACGCUGAUACAAAGUUAAGUGAUCAGUCAGAGCCCCGGGCAGGGGUGGCCCAUGUGAACGAGAGUGGCUGCUGCCUUUGCUUGUUGUCCUUCCAAUUGCAGCCGCAAGCCAUGACCCGGAGUGGACCAGACCAUGCUGCACUCCUGUCCUCAGACGCACAGAGGGAGAGACUGGCAGACGAGCUUGUUGACAUGCUGUUGGGAAGAAUGAGGACAUUGACAGUGACAGGACACAGUUGAAAAUGUAACUACUUGACCGACACAGGCCCAGAUGGACAGGACCAGACCACUGUGUGCUCCCUGCCUUCUCUCAGCAGCUGCUCAACCAGAGAUUUCUGUAGCCUUCAACAACAAGGAAGCCACUGACCUAAGGACAAGGAAGUACAGCCAGCCUCAGCCUGCACCUCACUGUGUUCCCUCAGGAGCUGGAGGCCAUUGGCAAGGGGAGCUCCGUGCCACUCACCCUCUCUGUGAAAUUGACCUGAAAUAAAUUUUUCUGAUUCGUGA
Long non-coding RNA from Pezoporus flaviventris, 827 nucleotides. RefSeq lists it as uncharacterized. The transcript is spliced from 2 exons. The record is from RefSeq and is a predicted model, not a curated record. Lineage: Eukaryota; Metazoa; Chordata; Aves; Psittaciformes; Psittacidae.